GGACUGGCCGACUGCGCCCGCCCAGUCUCCGCAGUAUCCCCCCAGCGCGGCCGGUGCCUCAGUCCAGCCCGCCCCCCGGGGCAGUUUUAUCCCCCUGGUCUUUCUGCGGCGGGAGAGGAAUCAGCGGGGUAGAAGGGCUGGUGAUAUAGCCACAGGGGUGUGUAGCUUUGCCAGCGAGAGGUUUCUAGUGCAGACAAGGCUUUCAUUGCCUUUAUACUGGUAUAAGGCCAGGGCCGCACGAGGGGCUUAGCUACCUUACAGAGUUGUAUGGACAACCAUCAGCUUCCGUGGACAAAAGGGUGGAGGUGUACACACUGGAAGGCUCCUCCCGCCCAUGGAACUCCCCGGCUAUGCCGACAUAACAGAACCACCUUCGUCAGAGGGGUAGAGCUUUUGCAGCAAAGUUAUAUUGACAGAGUGUCAGUGGUAGACACUGCACUUAGUUAUGUCCCUGUAAAUGGUCUCUAGGAGGUGUCCAUCCUAACCCCUCUGAACUCCGCUGCCCCGCUCCCAGGAACACAGGCUUCUGCCCCUCCCUCCUUUAAAGGCCCACGAAUUUUUGAAAUUCCACUUUCUGUUUGCUCCCUGUGGACAGCUCACAUCGCAUCUUCCCAGCCAGCCAUACAGCAAAUGCUCUCCCGCUUGGAGCACACCUGAAUUGUUGGAUCUGCUGGCUCUGUGGGGAGAGGAGGCUGUGCAGUCCCAGCUCCACUCCAGUAGGAACUUCGAUACUUAUGGGCAGAUUUCUUAUGGCCGCUUGGAUAAGGGCUACAAACGGGACAUGCAUCAGUGCCAUGAGAAGAUCAAGGAGCAGAGGUAGGCGUACCAGAAGGCAAGGGAGUCAAACUGUUGCUCUGGUGCUGUGCUGAAGACCUGCUGCUUCUAUAAGGAGCUGGACGCCAUCCUCGGCAGCGAUCCCACCUCCACCGCGAAGAGCCCUGUGGAUACUUCGGGAGGGGAGGGGAGAGAGCAGACUCAACCCCAAGGACAAAGUGGUGGACAAGGAGGUUGAGUUGGAGGACAAGAUCGGACAAGCAACAGUCUCAUCUAGUACCAUGGCAAGCCAGGACCUCUUCUCAACCAAGGAGGGUUCAAGCCAGUCCCAGCACUCUGUCUCUGACGUGUAUGUUGCAGAGAGGAAAUGUGGCCUUUGUUAACAAGCAUGUUACCUCUGGAGACACAAAUCCACAGUUUGAGAACUGCAAAACUAAGCAUCUCUGAUGGUAUCUUCUAGACCAGUGGUCUCCAAACUUUUUGGAUCGGGCACCCCCAGGGCCAGCUCUAGGGAAGCAAAAAAAAAAAAAGAAAGAAAGAAGAAGAAGAGCUGCCGCUGGCGUGCCGCCGAAGACGGAGCAGGGAGAGCCGAGCUGCCGCCAGCGUGCCACCAAAGAAUCAAAUCAAACCAUGCCGGCAGCGCUCCUUCAGUGGCGCUCCUCCUGCCACGCACCCCCAGGGUUGGUCUUGCGCACCCCCUACUUUGGAGAUGACUGUUCUAGACUGAGCACUGAGUCCAAUUGAGUAGAUAGAAAGACUAACGUAAAUAAUAAUAGGUUUCAGAGUAACAGCCGUGUUAGUCUGUAUUCGCAAAAAGAAAAGGAGUACUUGUGGCACCUUAGAGACUAACCAAUUUAUUUGAGCAUAAGCUUUCGUGAGCUACAGCUCACUUCAUUGGAUGCAUCCUGUGGAAAGUGUAGAAGAUCUUUUUAUACACACAAAGCAUGAAAAAAUACCUCCCUCCACCCCACUCUCCUGCUGGUAAUAGCUUAUGUAAAGUGAUCACUCUCCUUACAAUGUGUGUGAUAUCCUAGGAGAGUAUGAUAUCAUAAGGAGAGUGAUCACUUUAGAUAAGCUAUUACCAGCAGGAGAGUGGGUUGCAGAUUAUUGUAAUAAACCAUAAAUCCAGGGUCAUUUUUCAGUCCAUGAUUUUUAGUGUCUAGCAAAGUUAUGAAUUUAAGCUCCCAGACUUGUCUGUUGAAAGUAUUGUGCAGAUUUUCUUUGAGGAUGAGGAGUAAUAGGUCAGAUAUAAAGAUGAUGUGGUGGUUUUGUCUUUUAUCAUUAUUCUGUGUGAGUUCAUUCGAGAGUGUAGUGAUUGUCUUGUUUCACCCACAUAGUUGCUACUGGGGCAUUUAGUGCACUGGAUGAGGUACACCACAUGUUAUGAUAGGCAAGUGUAGGACCCAUGGAUUUUGAAAGAUGUGUUGUGGGGGAUGUUGACCAUUGUAGCAGUGGAGAUACAUCUGCAGGUUUUGCAUCUGUUUUUCUGGCUGGGUCUGGUGCUACUUUGAGUUGGUGCAUCCUGGUCAGUGGGCAGCUUGCUUGUGAUGAUGAUGUGAUGUGAUGAGAAGCUGGGGGGGUUGUCUGAAGGCCAAAAGUGGGGGCUUAUGAAAGAUUUAUUUCAGGAUGGUGUCCCAAGUGAGCAUGGGUUGUAGUCUGAUAAUGCCCCAUAUGGAUUCCAGUGUGGAGUGGUAGAUGACGACUAGGGGCGUAUGGUCGGAGCUGGUUUUAUUUCUGUGCCGAAGAAGAUUCUUUGGGGGUAUUUGGGUGGCCCAUUCCAUGGUGCGAUUUACUUCUCUGGUGGAGUAGCCUUGUUUGGUGAAGGUGGUUUUGAGUGUGUUAAGCUGUAUAUCCCAGACCUUCUCCUUGGAGUAUAUUCUAUGGUAUCGUGUGUCCCUGGCUGUAGAGAACAGAUUUCUUGUUGUGUUUGGGGUGAUUACUGGAUCUAAGAAGGUAGGUGUGGUGAUACAUGGAUUUCUUGUAUAUAAAAUUGUCUGUAGGGUUCCAUUAUUGAAGCUGAUCAUGGUGUCCAGGAAGUUGAUGCUGUUGUCGGAAUGUUCUAGAGAGAGUUUAAUAGAUGGGUGGUAGUGGUGGUUGAAGUUGUAGUGGAAAUCUAUGAGGGAGUUUAGGUCAUCUGUCCAGACUAGAGGAUGAAAAUAUCAUUGAUGUAUCUCAAGUAUUCCAUUAGUUUCAUGGUGCAUUUGUCCAGAAAUUCUUUUUCAAGGUGGCCCAUGAAGAGGUUGGCAUACUGAGGAGUCAUCCUAAUACCUAUGGUUGUUGUCUCUCUAAUAUCCUGGGACCACCAUGGGUACAAAACUGCAUAGUUCUUUGUGAAGUUAUUUUAUUUUUGAGUGCACUUACAGAUAACCCUAAGAUUACUAUAAUCAAGUUUCAAUGGGAAAAAUACUUUUUACGGUGUGCUUGCUUUGUGUGUAGUCUUUUCAAUAGUCAGCAUGCCCUGCUUCACAGAAUCAUAAAAAUGUAGGGCAGGAAAGGACAUCAAGAGAUCAAGUCCAUCCCCCAGGGCUGAGGCAGAACCAAGUAUACCUAGACUAUGGCUGACAGGUGUUUGUCUAUCCCAGCGUUUCUCAAAUGUGGCCACCAGAUUUUUCUGUGGCCACAUCAGCCUCCUGGGCAGAAAUGGGGGGGAGGGGCAAAGCAGCAGUCCCUCCCUGCAGUACCCAGCUGUUGCUCCUGGCUGCCUUGUUUGCUGGCACCGCCAGCAGAGGAUCAGUACACUGCACAGUGCACCCUCAUGGGGGCUCUGGGCAGUGCCAUACCAGACACAUGGGGCCAAUGUGUGUGAUCAAUGGGCUUCGAGCUUCAGCACAGGCCAGCAAGGUUUGGGCUUGGAAAAAUUUUCAGAGCUGCCACCAGCAAGGGUUGGUGGCUGCAUUUUGACACAAAAAAUGCAAAAAUGUUCUGAGACCCCAACAUGUUCUUAAACCUUCCAGCAUCAGGAAUUUCACAACCUCCCUUGGAACUCUGGAAGCCUAUUCCAGUACUUUGCUAUUGUGAUAGUUAGAAAGUUUUUCCUAAUAUAUAAACCUAUAUCUCCCUUGUUGCAGAGUAAGCAGAUUACUUCUUGUCCUCCCUUCAGUGGACAUAGAGAACAUCCUCUUACUAACAGCCCUUAAUAUAUUUGAAGACUAGUUUCAGGUCCCACCCACUCUUUUCUCAGAAUUAAACAAACCCGAUUUCUUUUAGCCUUUCUGCAUAGGUCAGGGAGAAAACAUGUUUAACUUUUGAGGUCAACUCAAGUUUUAUAAAGGUCACAAUAUCAUGUACUACAUUAAGUAUCUAUAUUUUCAAUCUGUACAAUGGAGCAAAUUAUGGUAUUUACAUUUUUGCAAAUGUAAAUACUUUCUUAGUUCUGUUGUGUAGAAAAGCUCUUGCCCAAAGCUUUUAGUUUCAAUUAAGCUAUAGUGUAUAGCUUUAGUGUGUAUCCCAGACUUUCUCCUUGGUUCAGAAACAAUAUUUCUCCUAGGUUCAGAAACAAUAUUUUCUUAAUUUGAACUAGUUCAAAGUUGAGAAACCAACUGGAAGCUGAUAAAGCAGAAAAGCUUAUGAAUACAAACCAGGAGGAAAAGGAUGAGACUGAUGAAGGACACAGGGCCAGAUUUUUCGAAGGUAUUUAGGCACCUAAAGAUGCAGACUGAAAACUGUACUAAGGUCAUAUCUGCUUAUUUAAAGAACAGUUGAAAUGACUUCAUGUAUUAAUGACCUCAUUUAUUCAGUUCAUCUCCAUCUUGUAGAAUGGAGUAUUCUGAUUUUGGGGGGUUUUUUGGGUUAUGCAAUAGAAUUUAAGCCUCUCAUUUAUUUAAAAAAAAUCAUAGUUUUCUCCAUUAGCAAGUACUUUCAGGGUGAACUAAUAUAUUUUUCCCUGUUAAAGAUUCUGGCAAACAACAGCUGUAGAAACAAGAGGAUUGUACCCAAGAAAAAAUGAGCCAAUUAAAGAGGGAGAAAGUAGUGCUAAAGCACAUGACUGGAUGCCCAGGAGACUGAUGUUCUGCUACAUUUACUUUUAGGUCUACAUCCUUGUCUUUAUUAAAAAAAAUAAAAAUAGAUCCGCACGCAUCUGUGACCUAGUAGCAGUGGGUGGGAUUCUUCAUGACAGGUCCCAGAGGGGCUUUUUUUUGGUGGGGGGCAGGGGGACAUUUUGUAUGCUCCAAUGAUUCUCUAAUAUGGGGCUUCACAAGGCUCUGCCACUGCUCCUGUUCAACAUAUAUUAUUUGGAUUACAACAACAGCUGGAGGCCCCAACUUUUGUUCAGGGCUCCAUUGUGCUAUGCACACCUACAUAAAGCUGUUAGAGGUGGUUGCAUUGCGGCUGCAGUUUGUUAAAGUCUCCAUUUCAGAUGACGGACAGCACAACUGAGCAAAUGACCCAUGGGCUUGCUGAGAUUGGAUCUUAGAUGAGGGCUAGCAGGCUCGGACUCAAACAGGAUAAAACUGAAGUAAUUCACAGAUUGGAGAAGGCAACUGAGGAAAAUGAGAGAUUAUUUCAGUUGCCUUGAUUGGACAUGUGUGCUUGCUAUAGUAAUCAGGUCUGGAACAUAUUGGGGAUUGUGUUGGAUUCCCAGGUGCUUCUGGCUCUCCAGGUAGCAGUUGCCAAGACUACUUUUUCCUCCUUCAUCUAUUCCUACCUAGCAAGUUAUGACCUUUAUUUUGGGUGUUGAAUUCACUAGCUUUCCUUGCCCAAGUUAGCCAAUCAUUGAAGUGCAGGAAUACGUGAAUUACUUUAUGCCCAAAAGGGGCAUGAAACAGAUUGUGAUUGAGAAAAUUCAGGUCCAUUAGAAAACCACAGUAAAAUUAAAAAAAAAAAAGUCAGUUGGUUUCAGAGUAGUUACCAGCUAAAAAAAUUAUUUAUCAAUAAAUUCUGUGUUGUACCAGUUUGAAACAGCCCAAUUCUUUUGUGGUUUCUGACAUAGCCUGAAAUUAGAAGUAUAACACUGUAUUGUUAAAACAGUAGUGAGACAUCUGUUCCAUCCACAAAAGUAAUUUAAUAUUUGUUAUAUAUAUUAUCUACAAGUUCUCCUUAAAUAUUUAGUAUUUUUACAAGCUAUAUCCAGUGAGUACGUGUAUUACAUAAAGCUGAAAGAUAGUGCAACUGUUUACUACAAAAGUACAGAACUGCUUUGUAAUAGUUGUAUGAUUGCACACAAAUCUACACAAGCUCAUCAGUCAUCAAAAUCCCUAAUCGACAGUGCCUGGGCAAAGAGCUAGUGAACAGGGAAGUUUUGCGAGGGACUUCUCCGGGUAAAGGAGGAGUGCUUACAUGACCCUUGGGGUAAGUUUGUUGUCUGUUGUGUGUGUGUUUGUUUGUUGUGGUGUGGUGUGCUUGCUGCUGGACUGAAACAUACCGUGUGGUCUGGACUGUGUGCUGACCGUAUGGGUGCUGAGCCUAGCAGCCUGCUAGGCAAGGCUGAGAGCUUCUUAACAAGGCUUUGGUCCCUUUAGCACCCAUCAACCCUUAACCAGGGGGCGGGGCUACUCAGGAAGACCAGGGCUUUAAAAAGCGACCAGAGCAGGGGUGGCCAACCUGUGGCUCCGGAGCUGCAUAUGGCUCUUCAGAAGUUAAUAUGCGGCUCCUUGCAUAGACACGGGCUCCAGGGCUGGAGCUACAGGUACCAACUUUCCAAUGCUCACUGCUCAACCCCUGCCUCUGUCACUGGCCCUGCCCCCACUUCACCCCUUUCCCCAAGGCCCUGUCCCCGAAGCUUGCUGCACCCUCGCUCUUCUCCUCGCCUCCCAGAUCCUCCUGCAUCCUGCGUGAGGCACAGGGAGGGAGGGGAGGCGCUGAUUGGCAGGGCAGCUGGCAGGGGAGCUGAUGGAGGCUGAUGAGAUAAUACUGUGGCUCUUUGGCAAUAUACAUUGGCAAAUUCUAGCUCCUUCUCAGGCACAGGUUGGCCACCCCUGGCCCCAAGGAUCCAGUGAACAGGAGUGGUUAACAGGGGAGUUUUGCAAGGGAGUUUACAGGGGGAAUGUGGGUUGGGUGGCUACAUACACUUCACAUUCCCUAAACUUCUUUAAACUUAAGCUAAAAAACAUCCCGUGAUAAAAACAAAACAACAACAAAGGAACCAGCUACAGGAGUAAAAAGAGAAUGCAGGCAGAAGUCCAGCAACAAAGUGGGGGCUACCCAGUUUAUUGCACCCAAUGCAGCAUGUAUGAUUACCUGCCCUAUGGGCAGGUGGCGUAUGUGUGCUGUGAUGAAGUGGGAAUAUUUUUAAUGUUUUCUCUGAAUACUGUGUGGGUGCCUCCGUUUCCCCUUGGCAUUUCUUAAGUAUCUAGGGUGUGUGUGAUUGUUGCAGAGCCCUAGAGUGUCAGUGUGAUGCUGUCUGCACAGAGAAUGGCCGACACCCUGUCUCCUGGCAACUGAUGGCCUGGGCCCCUCCUCUGCAAAGGUGCCAACUGAAGGUGCUGGAGAACAAAGAGAUCAGGUGGCCUCCUGGCCUGGGAAAGAGACAAAGGCCAGAGGAGGGGCAGGAGAGUUUCAGUUUGGAGCUGGCUGGGGAAAUGGAGGGAUGCCCAGAGGGGGCUCUGGGCUCCCUGCCCCCCAAGACGGACCUGACUGAGGGGUCCUGUUCUCUGUACCUACAAGCUCUGUUUUAGACCAUGUUCCUGUCGUCUAAUAAACCUUCUGUUUUACUGGU
This is a long non-coding RNA of Caretta caretta (loggerhead turtle), 7429 nucleotides long. RefSeq lists it as uncharacterized. The record is from RefSeq and is a predicted model, not a curated record. NCBI's taxonomy places the organism in Eukaryota, Metazoa, Chordata, Testudines, Cheloniidae.